ACGUCAAAUCAUCAUGCCCUAUAUGUCCUGGGCUACACACGUACUACAAUGGCCGUGACAAAGGGAAGCGAAAUAGAGAUAUGGAGCGAAACCCAAAAAGCGGUCUCAGUUCGGAUUGAAGGCUGAAAUUCGCCUACAUGAAGCUGGAAUUGCUAGUAAUGGCAGGUCAGCAUACUGUCGUGAAUACGUUCCCGGGCCUU
RNAcentral lists this ribosomal RNA (200 nucleotides) under uncultured prokaryote. RNAcentral's name for it is "partial 16S ribosomal RNA". It matches the Rfam family "Bacterial small subunit ribosomal RNA", at positions 1182 to 1382 of the family's 1533-position model. The record is from RNAcentral.